Molecule: microRNA precursor, 82 nt
Filed under: Macacine gammaherpesvirus 4 (Rhesus lymphocryptovirus)
Lineage: Duplodnaviria; Heunggongvirae; Peploviricota; Herviviricetes; Herpesvirales; Orthoherpesviridae
Description: Macacine herpesvirus 4 (Rhesus lymphocryptovirus) mir-BART18 microRNA precursor family
Rfam family: mir-BART18 microRNA precursor family
Source: Rfam by way of RNAcentral
CGGGUGCCCUGGCUCAAGUUCUCAUUUCCAAUACAGUUUGAGAACCUUGUAUCGGAGAUAGGACUUGAUACCAGUUUGCCCG